This is a long non-coding RNA of Xenopus laevis (African clawed frog), 1269 nucleotides long. RefSeq lists it as uncharacterized. The record is from RefSeq and is a predicted model, not a curated record. NCBI's taxonomy places the organism in Eukaryota, Metazoa, Chordata, Amphibia, Anura, Pipidae. The transcript has 5 exons.
CUCCUCUUUCUCAACAGUAGCUGCAUGUUUUGCAAUGACCAUAUGAAAUACUCCCUCCCUGAUACCACAGCCGCUACCAUCCUCACACUGGCCACAAUGUCUCUGUUCUCUCCCUGCUUUUCUCAGAAAAUCCAAGAUGGAUGUGCAUUCCACUGUGGAACACAUGGCCAUGCUGGAUAUAUUUUUUCCCACAGACGUUGAACCAGGCAGAGAAAGAGAGAAGCAAACAGGAAAGGAAGGAAAGAAAGAAGAAAGCUUUGCUGCUGGUAUUCUGCUUGUGCAAAUAGGUGCAACCGGAAUACUGACUGUCUGUCCUUUUUAUGCUGCAGAAGAUAACUAAGCUUGAUUUACAGAAGAUCAAAAUAGAAGAAAAGGGCCAGUUUCUUCUAACUAUGAAGUCCAGUGGCCAUUACUAUGGAUUAAGCCGAGAAGCAGUGGAAUUAGUUGCCAGAGAAAGUCUUGCUUGCUGCACCCACAUGGAGAUAGAGGGAGAAAAUGGGAUCCCAGGCUCACCUUGACCUGCAGGAAUUAUGAUUCAUCCGAGGGAGGUGAUCAUGUUCUGAGAUCAGCAAUCAAAAAAAACCCAGAGAUUAUGCAUAUUUUUACAUUUCCAGGAAAGACUGCCAUCUCAUCUGAUACAGAGGACAGUUGCAAUAUGGAGGAAGACAGCAGAUUUCUAUUAUUUUGAUUGGCAAUAUAAAAUAAGCUGAAAUAUGAAAGCAGAAAAUUCUACUGCUUCUAUUCUGUUUAUCCUUCUUCCACACCACCCCCUACACUGUCCAUUCCUAUAAUUUAUCUUGUGCACAGUUGUAUCCUCUAUUUCCCAUAACAGACUGCCAGCUUUUGGACCCAGAAUGUUUAUCCUUCAGAUUAUUCCUGCUCUCUCCAAAAUUAUUGUAGUCCCUUUGGGAAUAAUUCAUAGUGAUGGUCAGGGGCUCUACAUACAAAUUAAGGGGCCUUUGGAGGGACCUGAAUCUGUUUAUAUGUAUUCUAUAUUUAAUUUUAAAUAUUUAGUAAUUUGUUAAUUUGGUAACAUGUUCAUUUUCAUUUUGCAUAUUUGUUUCAUUAAUAAAACAUUGACAUGUUAUUGUUUACAGACGGAUAUCAAAUUCCAUUGAGACAUAAAGUGGCUUCUUAUCUUUAUUGGGAAAUGAUCCAUUUAAAGCAAAGUAAACCCUAAAAAACAAGCAGUGUAGAAGUACUGUAUUUUUUAUAUUGAACUUGCUGUACAGCAGCUUUGUAACUAAUCAUCAGGCCUUUAAUGUUAUC